UACAGAGGUCCCAAGCGUUGUUCGGAUUCACUGGGCGUAAAGGGUGCGUAGGUGGUGAGGUAAGUCGGAUGUGAAAUCUCCGAGCUCAACUCGGAAAUGGCAUUGGAAACUACCUUGCUAGAGGGUUGGAGGGGGGACUGGAAUACUUGGUGUAGCAGUGAAAUGCGUAGAUAUCAAGUGGAACACCAGUGGCGAAGGCGAGUCCCUGGACAACUCCUGACACUGAGGCACGAAGGCUAGGGGAGCAAACGGG
RNAcentral lists this ribosomal RNA (253 nucleotides) under uncultured bacterium. RNAcentral describes it as "partial 16S ribosomal RNA". It matches the Rfam family "Bacterial small subunit ribosomal RNA", at positions 524 to 776 of the family's 1533-position model. The record is from RNAcentral.